Molecule: RNA transcript, 1410 nt
Organism: Salvia miltiorrhiza (redroot sage)
Lineage: Eukaryota; Viridiplantae; Streptophyta; Magnoliopsida; Lamiales; Lamiaceae
Gene name: methionine aminopeptidase 1D, chloroplastic/mitochondrial
Exons: 10
Source: RefSeq, a predicted model, not a curated record
GGUUGAUACGUUCGUGUGAAGGGUAAAAAGCGGCCAUCGCCGCAAAAAUAUCUUAAUACACAGUUUCCUAUUAUGAGAUGUAGCAGCAGCCGGAGCGGAUAAUAGAAGAGAAGAGAAGAGAAGAGAAGAAAGAAGAAAAUGGUGGCGCCCACUUUCAUUCAACCUCGCCUAAUCUCCACCUUCCUUGGGGACUGCCGCUUUCUUCCCUCCCAUUCCGCUCAUUCAAUCCAUCAUCUCUUCCGUUUCAAUCCAGGAAGAGACCACGUGUCAAUGAAAAUGUCAAGGAAGUUCUCUGGAUUAACCAAUUUAUUAUUUAACAGAAGAAGUACUGAAGAAGUCGCUGAUAGCAAGAGGCAACGUUUAAAACCUGGUAAAGUAUCUCCCAUUCGGCUAGUUCCCAGUCACAUAAUAAAACCUCCUUAUGUGAAAUCUAGAAAACCGCCUGGCAUUGCUAGUGGGCCUGAAAUUCACGACGAGAAAGGGAUAGCAUGCAUGAGAGCUUCAGGGAGGCUUGCUGCACAAGUUCUUCUGCAUGCUGGAACUUUAGUGAAGCCAGGCAUCACAACAGAUGAAAUUGACCAAGCAGUUCAUCAAAUGAUCAUUGACAAUGGAGCAUAUCCAUCUCCUCUUGGUUAUGGUGGGUUUCCAAAGAGUGUAUGCACAUCGGUGAAUGAGUGCAUUUGCCAUGGGAUUCCAGAUUCACGGGCCCUUGAGGAUGGUGACAUUAUCAACAUUGAUGUUACAGUUUAUCUAAAUGGUUAUCAUGGUGAUACAUCUGCAACAUUUUUUGUUGGAGCAGUCAAUGAGGAGGCCAAAAGCUUAGUUAAGGUAACCAAAGAAUGCCUCGACAAAGCAAUAUCAAUAUGUGCACCAGGAGUCGAAUUUAAACAAAUUGGCAAGACAAUACAUGACCAUGCAGAUGAACACCGUUAUGGAGUUGUCCAGCAGUUCGUUGGCCAUGGAGUUGGAAGGGUUUUCCACAGUGCUCCAGUGGUUCUUCAUUACAUUUAUGUGGAUUGCAACAGGACUUGAAAAAUAUUUUAUAAGGAUGUCAUUAUGCUUUGCAACGAAUGGACUAUGUUGAUAUUUUGUUGCAUUUGGUCGCAUUCUUCUCAGUCCAGCUUGUAUGAUGCUUGGGUCUACUAGUGAACAUUAAGGAACAUAUGAAAGGGUAAUUACUCCGAAAUCUAUCCAUCCAGUUUCUAGAAUUUUUCUGAUUAAGUAACAUAUGAAUAGGUAAUUAACGGCUCUCCGACAAAAUUGGGUGAUCAGUUGUUAAAAGAGAUAUAUGAACCGUCUGGGACGGAUAGAUUUCGGAGUGAUACACGCCAUGUCUCAAGAGUUCAGAGAAAAUGUGGCAUUGAAAUAAUGAUCGUGGACGUAUGGUUCUCAACCAAACUUUCACCAUCG